UUGGAGGGCAAGUCUGGUGCCAGCAGCCGCGGUAAUUCCAGCUCCAAUAGCGUAUAUUAAAGUUGUUGCAUUUAAAAAGCUCGUAGUUGAAUUUCGGGAUCUGUACACUGGUCGUGCAUCCUGUAUGUACUGGUGUCACUGAUUCCUCCCUUCUGAAGAACCAUCAUGCCAUUAAUUUGGUGAGUUGCGGAAACUCAUCAUUAUUUAAAAAAUUCAAAGAGUUUUAAGCCAGCUUUGCUUGACUUACUUAAUAUUGAAUAUUGACUA
RNAcentral lists this ribosomal RNA (267 nucleotides) under uncultured Glomus. RNAcentral describes it as "partial 18S ribosomal RNA". It matches the Rfam family "Eukaryotic small subunit ribosomal RNA", at positions 548 to 823 of the family's 1831-position model. Lineage: Eukaryota; Fungi; Glomeromycota; Glomeromycetes; Glomerales; Glomeraceae. The record is from RNAcentral.